UAGGGAAUAUUAGAAAUGGACGAAAGUCUGAUCUAGCAACACCGCGUGUGCGAUGAAGGCCUUCGGGUCGUAAAGCACUUUUGGAAGGAAUAGGAAGGAAUGUACUUCCAGAAUAAGUCUCGGCUAACUACGUGCCAGCAGCCGCGGUAACACAUAGGAGGCAAACGUUAUCCGGAUUUACUGGGCGUAAAGCGCGUGUAGGUGGUACUGUAAGUAGGGCGUGAAAGCUCCUGGCUCAACUGGGAGAGGCCGUUCUAAACUACAGAACUAGAGGAUGGUAGAGGGAGGUGGAAUUCCAGGUGUAGCGGUGGAAUGCGCAGAUAUCUGGAGGAACACCGGUGGCGAAGGCGGCCUCCUGGACCAUUCCUGACACUCAGACGCGAAAGCUAGGGUAGCAAACGG
This 402-nucleotide ribosomal RNA is filed under the name uncultured bacterium. RNAcentral's name for it is "bacterial SSU rRNA". It matches the Rfam family "Bacterial small subunit ribosomal RNA", at positions 355 to 775 of the family's 1533-position model. The record is from RNAcentral.